AGUGAACGCUGGCGGUAGCCCUAACACAUGCAAGUCGAACGGCAGCACAGUAAGAGCUUGCUCUUACGGGUGGCGAGUGGCGGACGGGUGAGGAAUACAUCGGAAUCUACUUUUUCGUGGGGGAUAACGUAGGGAAACUUACGCUAAUACCGCAUACGACCUACGGGUGAAAGCAGGGGAUCUUCGGACCUUGCGCGAUUGAAUGAGCCGAUGUCGGAUUAGCUAGUUGGCGGGGUAAAGGCCCACCAAGGCGACGAUCCGUAGCUGGUCUGAGAGGAUGAUCAGCCACACUGGAACUGAGACACGGUCCAGACUCCUAAGGGAGGCAGCAGUGGGGAAUAUUGGACAAUGGGCGGAAGCCUGAUCCAGCCAUACCGCGUGGGUGAAGAAGGCCUUCGGGUUGUAAAGCCCUUUUGUUGGGAAAGAAAAGCAGCAGGUUAAAACCCCGCUGUUCUGACGGUACCCAAAGAAUAAGCACCGGCUAACUUCGUG
Molecule: ribosomal RNA, 492 nt
Filed under: uncultured bacterium
Lineage: Bacteria
Description: partial 16S ribosomal RNA
Rfam family: Bacterial small subunit ribosomal RNA
Source: RNAcentral